This 223-nucleotide ribosomal RNA is filed under the name uncultured bacterium. RNAcentral describes it as "partial 16S ribosomal RNA". It matches the Rfam family "Bacterial small subunit ribosomal RNA", at positions 524 to 745 of the family's 1533-position model. The record is from RNAcentral.
UACGUAGGGGCAAGCGUUGUCCGGAUCUAUUGGGCGUAAAGAGCGUGUAGGCGGCUUGGUAGGUCCGUUGUGAAACUCGAGGCUCAACCUCGAGACGCCGAUGGAAACCACCAAGACUAGAGUCCGGAAGAGGAGAAUGGAAUUCCGUGGUGAUAGCGGUGAAAUGCGCAGAUAUCAGGAAGAACACCCGUGGCUAAGGCGGUUCUCUAGUACGGUACUGACG